Molecule: ribosomal RNA, 104 nt
Filed under: Fasciola hepatica (liver fluke)
Lineage: Eukaryota; Metazoa; Platyhelminthes; Trematoda; Plagiorchiida; Fasciolidae
Source: RNAcentral
GUGACCGUACGACCUUGGAAACACGGGUUCUCGCCUGAUCACCGAAGUUGAUCAAAGUCGGGCCCAGUUAGUACUUGAAUGGGUGACUCACUACUGUGGCCGCC